AAAAACCUUUGCUCAAACGUCAAAAAAGAAGCAAUGCCCAGCUGCAAUAUUCAUCACUCAAAUUGCAAAAUUUCCAAAUAUGAAGAUUGAAAAAGACAGCUUAUUCUUCAGACGAAGAGCAGCAAAGAUAUUGCACGAAGGGUUGACGGCAAGCACAAUCGCAGCUGCCGACGUUCAAAUGAAUUAUAUCGUGAAGUUACCACCUGUAUCUGAACAUAAAUAUCACAUAAUGGGAAAGGCUGCUGGAAUAAGAGAGCCACUGGACCCGGUUAUAGUGGAAAAACUUUCAGAGCUAGCCCAAGAAGGUGUCCACUCAGUAAGUGAGGCACG
Molecule: long non-coding RNA, 330 nt
Organism: Dendronephthya gigantea
Lineage: Eukaryota; Metazoa; Cnidaria; Anthozoa; Malacalcyonacea; Nephtheidae
Exons: 3
Source: RefSeq, a predicted model, not a curated record